This 301-nucleotide ribosomal RNA is filed under the name uncultured bacterium. Its description in RNAcentral is "partial 16S ribosomal RNA". It matches the Rfam family "Bacterial small subunit ribosomal RNA", at positions 509 to 807 of the family's 1533-position model. The record is from RNAcentral.
CAGCAGCCGCGGGAAUACGGAGGGUGCAAGCGUUAAUCGGAAUUACUGGGCGUAAAGCGCACGCAGGCGGUUUGUUAAGUCAGAUGUGAAAUCCCCGGGCUCAACCUGGGAACUGCAUUUGAAACUGGCAAGCUAGAGUCUCGUAGAGGGGGGUAGAAUUCCAGGUGUAGCGGUGAAAUGCGUAGAGAUCUGGAGGAAUACCGGUGGCGAAGGCGGCCCCCUGGACGAAGACUGACGCUCAGGUGCGAAAGCGUGGGGAGCAAACAGGAUUAGAUACCCGGGUAGUCCCUGUCUCUUAUAC